RNAcentral lists this ribosomal RNA (860 nucleotides) under uncultured bacterium. RNAcentral's name for it is "bacterial SSU rRNA". It matches the Rfam family "Bacterial small subunit ribosomal RNA", at positions 51 to 904 of the family's 1533-position model. The record is from RNAcentral.
ACACAUGCAAGUCGAGGGGCAGCAUGAACUUAGCUUGCUAAGUUUGAUGGCGACCGGCGCACGGGUGAGUAACACGUAUCCAACCUGCCGAUGACUCGGGGAUAGCCUUUCGAAAGAAAGAUUAAUACCCGAUGGCAUAGUUCUUCCGCAUGGUAGAACUAUUAAAGAAUUUCGGUCAUCGAUGGGGAUGCGUUCCAUUAGGUUGUUGGCGGGGUAACGGCCCACCAAGCCUUCGAUGGAUAGGGGUUCUGAGAGGAAGGUCCCCCACAUUGGAACUGAGACACGGUCCAAACUCCUACGGGAGGCAGCAGUGAGGAAUAUUGGUCAAUGGACGAGAGUCUGAACCAGCCAAGUAGCGUGAAGGAUGACUGCCCUAUGGGUUGUAAACUUCUUUUAUACGGGAAUAAAGUGAGGCACGUGUGCCUUUUUGUAUGUACCGUAUGAAUAAGGAUCGGCUAACUCCGUGCCAGCAGCCGCGGUAAUACGGAGGAUCCGAGCGUUAUCCGGAUUUAUUGGGUUUAAAGGGAGCGUAGGCGGACGCUUAAGUCAGUUGUGAAAGUUUGCGGCUCAACCGUAAAAUUGCAGUUGAUACUGGGUGUCUUGAGUACAGUAGAGGCAGGCGGAAUUCGUGGUGUAGCGGUGAAAUGCUUAGAUAUCACGAAGAACUCCGAUUGCGAAGGCAGCCUGCUGGACUGUAACUGACGCUGAUGCUCGAAAGUGUGGGUAUCAAACAGGAUUAGAUACCCUGGUAGUCCACACAGUAAACGAUGAAUACUCGCUGUUUGCGAUAUACAGUAAGCGGCCAAGCGAAAGCGUUAAGUAUUCCACCUGGGGAGUACGCCGGCAACGGUGAAACUCAA